RNAcentral lists this ribosomal RNA (374 nucleotides) under uncultured soil bacterium. RNAcentral describes it as "bacterial SSU rRNA". It matches the Rfam family "Bacterial small subunit ribosomal RNA", at positions 27 to 402 of the family's 1533-position model. The record is from RNAcentral.
GAUUGAACGCUGGCGGCAGGCCUAACACAUGCAAGUCGAGCGGUAGAGAGGUGCUUGCACCUCUUGAGAGCGGCAGACGGGUGAGUAAUGCCUAGGAAUCUGCCUAGUGGUGGGGGAUAACGUUCGGAAACGGACGCUAAUACCGCAUACGUCCUACGGGAGAAAGCGGGGGACCUUCGGGCCUCGCGCCAUUAGAUGAGCCUAGGUCGGAUUAGCUAGUUGGUGAGGUAAUGGCUCACCAAGGCGACGAUCCGUAACUGGUCUGAGAGGAUGAUCAGUCACACUGGAACUGAGACACGGUCCAGACUCCUACGGGAGCAGCAGUGGGGAAUAUUGGACAAGUGGGACGAAAGCCCUAGAAUCCCAGGCCCAAU